UGGAGGAACAACCGCAGUGGCGGGGCCAGCUCUGGAGCCCUGGAGUCAGCGCCCGAAGGAACUCCGGAGCUCUCCGUCUGCAGGGCCUGGAGGCUCCAGGUGGGG
Molecule: non-coding RNA, 105 nt
Organism: Canis lupus familiaris (dog)
Lineage: Eukaryota; Metazoa; Chordata; Mammalia; Carnivora; Canidae
Source: Rfam